GCAGGGGAUCUUGGGCAAUGGGCGAAAGCCUGACCCAGCGACGCCGCGUGGGGGAUGAAGGCCUUCGGGUCGUAAACUCCUUUUCCAGGGGACGAUAAUGACGGUACCUUGGGAAGAAGCCCCGGCUAACUACGUGCCAGCAGCCGCGGUAAAACGUAGGGGGCAAGCGUUACCCGGAAUUACUGGGCGUAAAGGGCAUGUAGGCGGCCCGGUCCGUCGUUGGUGAAAGGCCCCGGCUUAACCGGGGAGCCGCUGACGAUACCACCGGGCUAGAGGGCAGCAGAGGUGAGUGGAAUUCCCGGCGUAGCGUUGAUAUGCGUAGAGUUCGGGAGGAACACCAGUGGCGAAGGCGGCUCACUGGGCUGUCCCUGACGCUAAGGUGCGAAAGCGUGGGGAGCAAACAGG
Molecule: ribosomal RNA, 405 nt
Filed under: uncultured bacterium
Lineage: Bacteria
Description: bacterial SSU rRNA
Rfam family: Bacterial small subunit ribosomal RNA
Source: RNAcentral